GACGAACCGUGCAAACGUUAUUCGGAAUCACUGGGCUUAAAGGGCGCGUAGGCGGGUGACCAAGUCAAGGGUGAAAUCCUGCGGCUCAGCCGUAGAAGAGCCCCUGAUACUGGUCGUCUGGAGGGAGGUAGGGGCGUGCGGAACUUCCGGUGGAGCGGUGAAAUGCGUAGAUAUCGGAAGGAACGCCGGUGGCGAAAGCGGCACGCUGGACCUUUUCUGACGCUGAGGCGCGAAAGCCAGGGGAGCAAACGGG
Molecule: ribosomal RNA, 253 nt
Filed under: uncultured bacterium
Lineage: Bacteria
Description: partial 16S ribosomal RNA
Rfam family: Bacterial small subunit ribosomal RNA
Source: RNAcentral